CCUACGGGAGGCAGCAGUGAGGAAUAUUGGUCAAUGGACGCAAGUCUGAACCAGCCACGUCGCGUGAAGGAAGACGGCCCUACGGGUUGUAAACUUCUUUUGUAAGGGAAUAAAGUGAUUCACGUGUGUUUCAUUGCAUGUACCUUACGAAUAAGGAUCGGCUAACUCCGUGCCAGCAGCCGCGGUAAUA
This 190-nucleotide ribosomal RNA is filed under the name uncultured bacterium. RNAcentral describes it as "16S ribosomal RNA". It matches the Rfam family "Bacterial small subunit ribosomal RNA", at positions 338 to 525 of the family's 1533-position model. The record is from RNAcentral.